UACGGAGGGUGCAAGCGUUGUCCGGAAUCACUGGGCGUAAAGGGCGCGUAGGCGGCUCAUGAAGGCUGUGGUGAAAGUCCGGGGCUCAACCUCGGAUCGGCCGUGGCGACUCGUGGGCUGGAGCACUGUAGAGGCGGGUGGAAUUCCGGGUGUAGCGGUGGAAUGCGUAGAGAGCCGGAAGAACACCAGUGGCGAAGGCGGCCCGCUGGGCAGUGGCUGACGCUGAGGCGCGACAGCGUGGGGAGCAAACAGG
RNAcentral lists this ribosomal RNA (253 nucleotides) under uncultured bacterium. Its description in RNAcentral is "partial 16S ribosomal RNA". It matches the Rfam family "Bacterial small subunit ribosomal RNA", at positions 524 to 776 of the family's 1533-position model. The record is from RNAcentral.